CGUAAUUCCAGCUCGAAUAGCGUAUGUUAAAUUUGCUGCGGUUAAAAAGCUCGUAGUUGGGAGUCAGGAGAUGAACUGUGCGCUGUCAUGUCACAAAAUGACGUGUAUAGCAUUGCACCAGAUUCACUUCUUUAACAUCGCUGCUCCUGCGUCGUCAAAGACCCAAUUAAGUUUGGGAGGCGCAUUUAAAAGGGAAGGCGAGUAACUACUUUGAGAAAAUUAGCGUGCUUAACGCAAGCGUCUUGCUUGAAUACUGUUGCAUGGAAUAAUGAGAUAGGACCUUGGUUCUGUUUCGUUGGUUUCCGGAAGCCGAGGUAAUGAUUGAUAGGGAUAAACGUGGGCAUUCGUAUUGUGGUGUUAGAGGUGAAAUUCGAUGAUCACCGCAAGACGUACAACUGCGAAAGCAUUUGCCAAGAAUGUUUUCAUUAAUCAAGAACGAAAGUUAGAGUUUCGAAGACGAUUAGAUACCGUCCUAGUUCUAACUAUAAACUAUGCCAACUGGGCAUCUGGCGCUUGCAACUUAAAAGCAUCGCCAGGCACCCCGCGGGAAACCAAAGUUAUUGGGUUCCGGGGGGAGUAUGGUUGCAAAAUCGAAACUUAAAGGAAUUGACGGAGGGGCACACCAGAAGUGGAGCCUGCGGCUUAAUUUAC
Molecule: ribosomal RNA, 651 nt
Filed under: Neoechinorhynchus agilis
Lineage: Eukaryota; Metazoa; Acanthocephala; Eoacanthocephala; Neoechinorhynchida; Neoechinorhynchidae
Description: SSU rRNA
Rfam family: Eukaryotic small subunit ribosomal RNA
Source: RNAcentral